Non-coding RNA from Xenorhabdus vietnamensis, 54 nucleotides. The record is from Rfam. Lineage: Bacteria; Pseudomonadati; Pseudomonadota; Gammaproteobacteria; Enterobacterales; Morganellaceae.
CGUGUGGUGUCUGGCGGUAACAAGGCUGGAUAGCGACACGGCCUGAACAGAGGU